RNAcentral lists this ribosomal RNA (207 nucleotides) under uncultured bacterium. Its description in RNAcentral is "partial 16S ribosomal RNA". It matches the Rfam family "Bacterial small subunit ribosomal RNA", at positions 568 to 774 of the family's 1533-position model. The record is from RNAcentral.
UGCGUAGGUGGUCUUGUAAGUCAGAAGUGAAAGGCUACGGCUUAACCGUAGUAAGCUUUUGAAACUGCAGGACUUGAGUGCAGGAGAGGAAAGUGGAAUUCCUAGUGUAGCGGUGAAAUGUCGUAGAUAUUAGGAGGAACACCAGUGGCGAAGGCGACUUUCUGGACUGUUACUGACACUGAGGCACGAAAGCGUGGGGGGCGAACA